RNAcentral lists this long non-coding RNA (1522 nucleotides) under Malus domestica (apple). RNAcentral's name for it is "long non-coding RNA (MDOM_LNC002565)". Lineage: Eukaryota; Viridiplantae; Streptophyta; Magnoliopsida; Rosales; Rosaceae. The record is from RNAcentral.
UGGGGCCUUUCAAUGAUUUCAAUUGGUUUUGUUAGAUAAUUGUUUAAUUGGAAGCUGUAUUGGUUUCACUUUUUUCAUUUUAUUAUCUUUGUUUUAUCUUGCUUAGAAGGCAUUUAAGACUUUAGGAGACACACGUCACUUUGUGGGCUUGUUUCGAUUAUCUGGAAUCUAUCCACUGAAUUGUGAUAAUCUUUAUGGUGACAAAAACAAGUAACUAUCCCACUGCCUGUGGAAGAAAGUCAUGCCUCCAUCUUAUGAAUAUAGACUAAACUUAGCACCACCAGCACCACCAGCACAAGGUGGCGAAAGGACGAUUGCUUUGGAUUAUAAUAUGCACUAGGUCAUUGAUUAUAUUAUUUCAAUACCCGUAACUCUGGCAAACCCUCUCUCGCUGUUGUCGCUAUCAAGUUUACGGUCUAACUUAGAAGAAAAGCUUAAUUGUAACUGAGAUCAUAUCCGUUAUUUAAUACUACGGUAUAAUAGUAUUCAUGUUCACUUAUAAAUGAGAGGUCUUAGGUUCGAUUCUCACUAAAGACAAAUUUGAAUCACAUUAUUGCUAGUCCAUUAUCUCCCCUUAAUGUAGAUAAUAUCGUUUAUUUAAAAAAAAAAAAAAAACUGAGAUUAUAUCCUUGUGUUCUUAAAACACUCAUCAUUUGACUGAUCAUCUGAGUUGCUUUGAAUCAUAAUUCUCAUUAUAUCCUUAUCAAAGCCUUUAAAGGAAGGAAUUUCCCUUCUUUAAAAAAAAAAAAAAAAAAAGGGGAAUUGGGGUUGGUUUGGAAUUGUAAUCUCACACCCAAACUCGAGAGUGACCCAAUUUGUUUGCUCUGUUUUUGGAUUUUUCUUUUUUUAAAAGCAGUUUAUUAAAAAAUUUAGAACAUCAAAUAUGUUUGGUAAAAGUAAAAAAAAAAUGUUUUAUUAAAAAACUAUUGUCAAUGACAGUAAAAAAAAACAUAGAAAAAUAGAAGCAGAGUCUACCAUACUUCUAAAAAAGUGUUUUUUUUUCAAAGCAUAGUAAUCAAUGCUCAAUGAAAUUUUCAAAAGUCAAGUAUACCCCACAUAUUUUACAAAAUUACAAUCAUUCCCCUAUAUUAUUGUCUUUAACGAAAAAAAAUUAUCAAACACUCAAUAACUUUAUUUUACAGAUAUUUAUUUUUAUAGCACUGUAGAAACAAUUUUUUUAGAAAGCACAACAAUACCAAACUAGCCCUUAGUUGUGGACCCACACAACAUCGAACUUUAACUAUCCUAUUUUUCAAGUUGCAUCCCAUAGAUCAUCUUUGAAAUGUUAGCUAAAUAAAAAAUAUAUGGGGCAUUUAAUUGAGUUCAAAUAAAUUGACCAACACUAUGGUCUAAGAAACAUUAAAAUUUCAUCGUGAUAAUUAAAUAAGUAAAUGGUUUGGAUCAAAAUGUAUUUUUGCAAGAAUUAUCCAUGAAUCAAGACUUAUAACAUAAACAAUUCGGAUUAUUGAAAUUUGAAACGAAAUGUAAAUCCCAUAACUAGUCUCCAUUAAAAAAAAAAAAA